CGGGACGUAGUUCAGCCUGGUAGAGCGCUUGCAUGGGGUGCAAGAAGCCGGAGGUUCAAAUCCUCUCGUCCCGACCA
RNAcentral lists this transfer RNA (77 nucleotides) under Alphaproteobacteria bacterium. RNAcentral's name for it is "tRNA-Pro". It matches the Rfam family "tRNA". Rfam says of the family: Transfer RNA (tRNA) molecules are approximately 80 nucleotides in length. Their secondary structure includes four short double-helical elements and three loops (D, anti-codon, and T loops). The record is from RNAcentral. Lineage: Bacteria; Pseudomonadati; Pseudomonadota; Alphaproteobacteria.